This is a non-coding RNA of Daldinia bambusicola, 86 nucleotides long. The record is from the annotation of a GenBank genome assembly. Lineage: Eukaryota; Fungi; Ascomycota; Sordariomycetes; Xylariales; Hypoxylaceae.
GCACUAAUGGGGUAGUGGUAACCUCGGAGUUUCCCAUCUUCUGAAGAUACUUACUCUGGCCCCGUGUUCGAUUCACGGUUAGUGCA